UACAGAGGUCUCAAGCGUUGUUCGGAUUCAUUGGGCGUAAAGGGUGCGUAGGCGGCGCGGUAAGUCGGGUGUGAAAUCUCGGAGCUUAACUCCGAAACUGCAUUCGAUACUGCCGUGCUUGAGGACUGGAGAGGAGACUGGAAUUUACGGUGUAGCGGUGAAAUGCGUAGAUAUCGUAAGGAAGACCAGUGGCGAAGGCGGGUCUCUGGACAGUUCCUGACGCUGAGGCGCGAAAGCGUGGGGAGCAAACGGG
This 253-nucleotide ribosomal RNA is filed under the name uncultured bacterium. RNAcentral's name for it is "partial 16S ribosomal RNA". It matches the Rfam family "Bacterial small subunit ribosomal RNA", at positions 524 to 776 of the family's 1533-position model. The record is from RNAcentral.